CUUCAAUGCUCGUUCACCAUAAUAUCUCUCAGUCGCCCACGAACUCCAUCAUUCUCUCUCUUCAUUGACCCCAAAACCCACUAUCAAAAAGAUCCAUAAAUUCAUGGAUUCAGAUCAGGGUAAGCUGUUUAUUGGUGGGAUUUCAUGGGAAACAAGCGAGGACAAGUUAAAGGAUUACUUUUCCCAAUAUGGCGACGUUUUGCAGACCGUGGUUAUGAGAGAGAAAACCACCGGGAGACCCAGAGGUUUUGGUUUUGUGGUUUUUGCAGAUCCUUCCAUUCUCGAUCGUGUCCUUCAGGAUAAGCACACCAUCGAUGGACGAACUGUUGAGGCGAAGAGAGCCAUGUCAAGAGAGGAGCAGCAAACAUCAGCCAGAACUGGAAACUUCAAUCCUUUUAGAAACAAUGGAGGUGGUGGGAACAUCAGGACCAAAAAAAUAUUUGUUGGAGGGUUGCCUCCCACUCUAACUGAAGAUGGAUUUCGUCAAUAUUUUGAAGGUUAUGGCAAUGUCACUGAUGUGGUAAUCAUGUAUGACCAGAAUACUCAACGGCCUCGUGGAUUUGGCUUUAUUUCCUUUGAUACUGAAGAUGCAGUUGACAGAGUUUUACAUAAAACUUUUCAUGAUUUGAAUGGUAAACAAGUUGAAGUGAAACGGGCUCUUCCUAAAGAUGCCAAUCCUGGAGGAGGUGGCCGUAACAUGGGAGCUGGUGGUUCUGGUUUUGGUGGUUAUCAGGGUUAUGGUGCUUCUGGUGGCAAUUCAAGUGCAUUUGAGGGUCGUAUGGAUUCUAAUAGGUACAUGCCGUCUCAGAAUACUGGAAGUGGCUUUCCACCUUAUGGUUCAUCGGGGUAUGGUACACCAGGCUAUGGAUAUGGUCCAUCCAGCAACAGUGUCAGUUAUGGUGGUUAUGGCAGUUACGGUGGUGCCAAUGCUGGGUAUGGUGGCCCUGCAGGUGCCGCCUAUGGGAACCCAAAUGUAGCUAAUGCUGGUUAUGUAAGUGGUCCACCAGGUGCACCCAGAAGCUCGUGGGGUACCCAGGCUCCCUCUGGUUAUGGUACCAUGGGCUAUGGAAAUGCUGUCCCUUGGGGUACUGGUAGUGGUGGUCCUGGUUCAACACCUACGGGUCAGUCUCCUAGUGGGGCCACUGGUUAUGGGAAUCAGGGUUAUGGUUAUGGUGCGUAUGGUGGAAGUGAAGGUUCUUAUGGGAAUGCCUCUGGGUAUGGAGCUGUUGGUGGACGUUCUGGUAGUGUCCCAAGUGGUAAUGCUGGUAAUCAGGGUGCAGGAGAAUUGCAAGGGAGUGGUGGCAGCUACAUUGGAAGUGGCUAUGGUGAUUCUAAUGGAAAUUCAGGGUAUGGAAAUGCAGGUUGGAGAUCUGAUGCAUCUCAAGCUUCUGGAAAUUAUGGAGCUCAAGCCAAUGGUCCUCAUGGUGGACAAGCUGGCUAUGGUGGUGGAUAUGGUGGUGCUCAGGCCCGGCAAGCCCAACAACAAUGAUCAGAUUGCUUUUUUGCCAACUGGACCAUAGCUCUAUGCUUCAGACCCAUCUCUUUGUGGAUGCGGUCAUGCUCUCUUGUUUUCUGCAACAAAUGGAGCAGCUCACCUUGAUGUCGUUGCUCUUUGGGACUGGAGGAGAGAUGUUCGAGUUCUAAGGUGGAGUCAAGUGCCCACUCACGGCUGAACCCGAGCUACAUAUUCGGGGAGUGUUCAGUAAGAGGGUUUUUUCAGCGUGGAGUGGGAGUGGAAGAGAACUUUCAGUUGAAAUUGUGAAAUAACCUGAGAGGCCAUUCCCCAGCCUGGCGGCCAACAGUGUCAUAUUUUGGAGAUUCUUUGCAUUACAUUUCAAGUCAUAAAUUUCCUGAUCUUCAUACUGGUUUGUGAAUUUGAUGAACAUAUGGAAUGUAUAGCCUAAGCUGGUUAGCUAUCUCUCUUUAAGCAAGUUGGCCAAAUUGUUUUAGGAUGCAUCAGAAUGGGUCAUAAUAUUUGAUUCCAGAUAUUUAGAAUAUUAGGAAACUUUUGUCCUUUAGAGGAUUUAGCUUAGUUUUUGAAUGGAUUAAGAACUUCCAUUACAUCUGUUCCAAGAUUUAUUUCUAUCUUCUUUUGUGUUGAUGGCCGUUUUACGCUUGCAAUGCAUUAUGUCAAUAUCAAUCUGUACCACAUUUGCUGUUGAAAUGUGCAUGUAGAAUAAUGUUCUUGAGAGAUUUCUACGAUAUUGACUGUUUGCUGAUAA
Mangifera indica (mango) is the source of this 2222-nucleotide RNA transcript. It is a transcript of the gene named heterogeneous nuclear ribonucleoprotein 1, with no coding region annotated. NCBI's taxonomy places the organism in Eukaryota, Viridiplantae, Streptophyta, Magnoliopsida, Sapindales, Anacardiaceae. The transcript is spliced from 3 exons. The record is from RefSeq and is a predicted model, not a curated record.